GACGAACGCUGGCGGCGUGCUUAACACAUGCAAGUCGAACGGAAAGGCCCUGCUUUUGUGGGGUGCUCGAGUGGCGAACGGGUGAGUAACACGUGAGUAACCUGCCCUUGACUUUGGGAUAACUUCAGGAAACUGGGGCUAAUACCGGAUAGGAGCUCCUGCUGCAUGGUGGGGGUUGGAAAGUUUCGGCGGUUGGGGAUGGACUCGCGGCUUAUCAGCUUGUUGGUGGGGUAGUGGCUUACCAAGGCUUUGACGGGUAGCCGGCCUGAGAGGGUGACCGGCCACAUUGGGCCUGAGAUACGGCCCAGACUCCUACGGGAGGCAGCAGUGGGAAAUAUUGCACAAUGGGCGGAAGCCUGAUGCAGCAACGCCGCGUGCGGGAUGACGGCCUUCGGGUUGUAAACCGCUUUCGCCUGUGACGAAGCGUGAGCGACGGUAAUGGGUAAAGAAGCACCGGCUAACUACGUG
Molecule: ribosomal RNA, 468 nt
Filed under: uncultured bacterium
Lineage: Bacteria
Description: partial 16S ribosomal RNA
Rfam family: Bacterial small subunit ribosomal RNA
Source: RNAcentral